This is a long non-coding RNA of Anas platyrhynchos (mallard), 2832 nucleotides long. RefSeq lists it as uncharacterized. NCBI's taxonomy places the organism in Eukaryota, Metazoa, Chordata, Aves, Anseriformes, Anatidae. The record is from RefSeq and is a predicted model, not a curated record.
GGCUAUGAGGCUUUCCAAGGUUGCAUCAGGCAGCAGCAUGAGGUGGGGACAGCUCACAGCUUCCCCACCCUCCCCUGGCAGUCACCAGCUGGGGAUGUUCCUUUUUACAGAUGAUUUUCUGGGUGAAGAAGAAAAAUAGCGUUGGCAAGGAGCUCCAGGCAUGAAGGAGGCACAGAGCUGGUGAUGCCACCAUGCUAUCCUGGUGUUCCUACUGCAAGAAGCAAGAAAAGCCAACUGAACUCAAAUACUGCCCUGCCCAGCUGCAUAAAAGACUGUGAAUAUGUACAUAUGGCUAAUAGGAUUUCAAGCUUACUAAUCCUGUUGAACUCAUGCUGCCAUCUCUAACAUGAGUGUGUAAGCCCACUCCUAUGUUCAGCAGUGGAAAGUGCACAGAUCCUAUUUGACAUCUUAUUCUAAGCACAAUGGAGGUGCCACGUUACUAGCCCAAGCCAUUAUUAAUAGUAUUAUUAUUACUACUACUAAUAUAUAUAUAUUUUUUUUCCCAGAAAAGAUAGCACUACCAUUCUAAAGAGAAGGAUGGAGGAGGCAAGUCAGAAUCUGUCAAUACAUCCCACAUCUGGUCUGUGUCUGUUUGCCUUGGUUGUCCCCUAAAGUCCUGUGCUGGGACAGGGUGUUAUGGGCAGUGAUCUUGCCCUGUGCCUGACUGCUCGCCCUGCAGUAGGAGCUGGCAGCCUGGCUGAGAGCAUCCCUGUGUCAGCAUGGCCUGACCUGCCAGGCAGAUGGAGGUGUCAGCCGGAUCCAUGCUGCUCCAAAUCUCUUUUUGCUGCUCCUCUUCACAAAUUCCUUUUCAGCCACAGUUUCCAAAGCAAGGCAAACAGACCUUGCGCUGGGAUGUCUUCCAAUGCAAAGAUGAGAUGUUGCUUUUCUUUAACCAGUUUGUUUAAGAUAUAGAAGCCAGUUCCACAGAGGGCCAAGUUCCCUUCCCAUAAUAAAUUAUGGGCUGAUUUGGAAGACUGUUCGUGAAGCACUGUUGCAAAAAAACAUUAGCCCAGGGCACAAUUCUCUCUCCCAGCACUGCUACACCUUGAAAUGAUGGCAGCUCUACAAAUGUGCAGAUACUCCUUGAGGAUCCUGUGUUACACCCAAGCGGGCACAGUGACAGCGCCCACUUCAUGGUGCUUGAGCAUCUUCAAUGAAAGAGCCUCUAGCUAAAAGAGAAGCUGGAGGUGCUGCCAAGUUUUCGGAAUGCUUCUGUGCUGUGUAUCUCACAGAGGUUUGCUCCCAGCCUCACUGCAGAAUCCUGGAAUAUCUCACUGUGGUGCCAAGGAGUGAUUCUUCCUGGAAGGAAGGGCUAGAUGAAGUCAUACUCACCCCUGGCACUGCUCUGCUAAAGGAAGGUGCAAAUAACACAAACCUGUGCCAUAUGGCAUCACAUGGUACGGACCUGGGCAGCAAGAACACAGCCUUAAAACUGUGAGGUGCAGUACAGGGAAGAGAGAUGUUGGUCUUGCCUGUUCUCAGAUGAAGUAAGCUUUAAAUAUUGCUCAGCUGACAACAAUGAAGUGUCAAAAAGGUCCCGUCCUUCCCUUAUUUUUGAAUCUUUUCCCCUUCCCCUCCCAGGUGAAGAACUCCAAACUGCCAGCCUCCACGCCAUCUGCUCUUGUUUCUGGAUGUGCAGCACUUCAGGGAAAGUUAAGUUUAACAUCAUUUGCAGCAGAGUGUUUCUGAGGGGAAGAAAACAGUACUUCUGGCUAGAGACUGGUUCCUUUACAUAAAGGCAAAUAUCCUGGCCUCAUGUUGGCAGCAUCAUAGCUUGUUACUGGUGGGGUAACAGCACCCACAUUGCCUGCAGAGAAAAAGAUGCCCUUUCUCUGCCCCAGAGAAAAAGAGGACCAGCAAUUCCUGUUGUCCAAGAGCCAUAACAAAAGCACCUGCUUUUUUUGUCCCACGGAUAACCGGGGCUGAGAGGAUGUAUUUCUAUGAGUGUUUUUCAGGCCUGUUGCUGGCUUUGGCAGUGGGUUGCUGGAGCCUUGGCACUGGUUAUUGACACAAGCCCAGCACCUCUGAGGGCAGGAUUCAUCGUUCAUCCUGGGCCAAACUGCCCUGGCCUCCUGCUCUGGAGCUCGCGUUGGGCCAGGCCAACAAGUGUCCCCAACUCUUCAAAGUAGAACACUUUGUCCUAGUGAAUAAAAUACACACUGCUGCUGCUGCUCAACUAAAUUAGGAGCCCAAUUAUUUUAAUGGCUUUUUUUUUUUUUUUUUUUUUUUUUUUUUUUGGAACACCAAGAACUUGCAGAACAAUCAUCCGGGCCAGGACGUUUUUGUUUCCUAAGCAGAUUGUCAAUGCUAAUGACUUGCAACUUGUCAACAGGAACCAAAUUCCCAUGGCAAAUAAAGGGAGAAAUCAUGGCAUUUUGGCAUGUUUCACCAUGCUCAAAUCAAUCACCUCUGAAAAAUAGCAUUGUGGGAGAGAGACUGGUCAAAUAAGAUAGUUGGAAAAAUAGGAUUUUUUCCCUGUUUCCUUUCUCCUCUAGCCACAAUGUACAUAACUACCGCACUUGUAUCAAUUAUUUAGGGAAGAGGCUCAUACUCUCAUGUACAUAAGGUUUUGGGUCUCAGUUCCAGUGGACCAGUAAUUAGGCUUCUUUUUGUCAUAUAUUUAUGAUGGGUCUCUUGAGACCUCUUUAUGAUUUGGAAACAUUUGUAGUGGAAGAAAAGAUGGCCCCUAUGGCUUUUCGUCAUCCAUAUUUUUAUUUUUAGGACAAAAUGCAACAUAAUUAAAUACCAAAAUAUCAAUAUGAUAACAUUCAGAAAUACUCUUCUGCCAGUAACAUGUGCAUAACAUAAUAGUGCAGUAAUGCACUGGUAGAA